UUUAUGGAGAGUUUGAUCCUGGCUCAGGAUGAACGCUGGCGGCGUGCCUAAUACAUGCAAGUCGAGCGAACAGAUGAGGAGCUUGCUCCUCUGACGUUAGCGGCGGACGGGUGAGUAACACGUGGAUAACCUACCUAUAAGACUGGGAUAACUUCGGGAAACCGGAGCUAAUACCGGAUAAUAUAUUGAACCGCAU
This 196-nucleotide ribosomal RNA is filed under the name Staphylococcus epidermidis. Its description in RNAcentral is "partial 16S ribosomal RNA". It matches the Rfam family "Bacterial small subunit ribosomal RNA", at positions 1 to 191 of the family's 1533-position model. The record is from RNAcentral. Lineage: Bacteria; Bacillati; Bacillota; Bacilli; Caryophanales; Staphylococcaceae.